UGGAGGUUUAUUUUGUCCAAGACCUUGUGCCCAGGAGGCGAACUCGGCUGGAGGCGAGGUCAGCUGACCGCGAUGCCCCCUGGAGGUGCCGCCGCACAGGGUCCCGCGUGGAUAGUCCUCGGGGAAACGGCCUUUCCACGCGGAUCCUUCUUCAUCUGGGACAUUGACGCUGUCAUGUUGUUUAAUUUCUAUCAUAUCUCACACAGCUAAUCAUUUUAAAUCUGUGAAGUUUCUUCUGAAAAUUAGGACUUUGUAGUUGCCACAAGUUCCACUAGAGGGCGGCAAAGGGCUACAUCUGAGCGAAGCUGCUGGGAGGAAAAACGAUUGAAAAGCCUUUGCUGGGGUUAAGCGGAAUGCGCGGGGCGUCUGCUCCCCGGCUUCCCAACGUAAAAUCGUUGUAACUGCUAGAAGCAUCAGAGAACUUUAAUGGACCAGCAGUGUGAGUUGUGGACCAGCGGUGUGAGCUGUGAAAUGUAACACAAAGCUGUCCCCUGCCAGCCAAAAUAUUUUAGUCAUUGUAGCGGCUUCAGUGGUGGUUCCCAAAGACAUUUUUAUGUCUUAAGCCUGGCACCUGUAAAUGUGGCCUUAUUUGGAAAAAGUUAAGAAUCUCCCGAUGAGAUAUUCUGGUCAUGAGGGUAGGCCCUAAAUUCAGUGACACGUGUUCUUAUGAGAGAAAGGCACAGAGAGAUUUGACACAGAUGGAAGAGAAGUCCAUGAAGAGAGGAGAGUCCAUGUGAAGAUGCAGGCAGAGAUUGGAAUGAUCACAAGGUCGCCAACACCCGGAGCCGCUAGAAGCAGGGAGAGGCAGGGAGGGGUUCUCCCCUGGAGCCUCUGAGGGGGGCACAGCCUGCCGACACCUUGAUUUUGGACUUCUGGCCCUCCACACUGUAGCCACCUAGUUUGUGGUAAUUUGUUUAAACAAUCCUAGAAAACAUACAGCCACCCAACACCGUGCCUUCUCAAAGGGGUUUCCAGGGGGGAGAAUAUUGGUUCUUGGAGGGGAAGGGAGUGUGUGAAAAAGUCUUCGGUGUUACAAUGGUUUGUCGUCCUCCAAAGGACCACAGAACAUAAACAGAUACACAGUAUCCGGGUGGUAUUAAAAUUUUAUUCAAGGGGGCAGGGAGGAAAAGGACAAUUAAGGAAAAAAAUCUAAACAAGUCUCCUCAGGGGAAUGAUCAUUUUUUAAAAGCUGAGAAUCACAGCCCUACACCUGUGCUGCAGACGCAUCCAUGCUUUUAAUGUUUAGGAUGAUAUGAGGAAAAAUUAAGACAUAACGAAAACAAAACGAGAGAAAAGUAAAAAACAGCUGGAACCUAUGAAUUGUUCUGCCCCAGAGAAAGGCAUUUUCAACGACUCCCUCUUCUCGCCCCAUAAAUACAGAAACCGUGUGUGUUGGGCACACAAUUUACAAAUGAGAAAUCGAGCUCACUGCCCCGAAGAGGAUCACAGCCCAGGCCAUGCUUCCAACCCAGCGGGUCCUGUGCCAACAUCGAGCAGAGCCUAAGGGAACCUCGCUCGCAGGGUCCCCAUGGUCCUGCUAAGAUGCCCCCCUGUCCUGGACACCAGUGGUCCCAAGACGACAAACCCUGAGAGAUCCCUGACAGUCACCCUCUUCCUUCUGCUACCAGCGUCCCAACUUUGCUCCAACAUCAACACGGACAGUUCCAGAGGAUGUGCCAUCUGGGUCUAAGCCACUCAUUGCAAUCCUGUAUCCUUUUGACAUUGGGGAUUGGACUAAGGCAGGGUUAGGGUAUGUCAAUCUUUUUUUCAUUGUUGACAUCCUAAGGAACUAUCUUAGCUAUUUUUUUCCCUAAUCAACCCUCUCUGCCCCAUGACAUUUUAAUACCACAGAUAUUCUGAAUAUCUGUUUAUGUAGUGUAUGGAUAUUAUGGUUUGUUUAUAAAUAAAAAGAUUUCUUUGCCCCUGCCAAGAACUUAUUUUUACCCCUUUGGGGGUGAUAUGGUCCCUGCUGAGAAUGCCUGGUGUAAGGGAUUGCAACACUGUUGAUAAUAGCAGACUGGAAAUCACUUAAAUGUCCCUCAGUAAGGACUGGUGAAAUAAACUAUGCCACACCCGAGGCAUAUGACACUAUGUAGCCACACACACACAAAAUGAGGAGUCUCCUAUCUACUCAUAUGGCAAGAUUUCCAAAAUAUAUUAAGUAAAAAAUGCAAGGAACAGAUGUGCCAUUCUCGCAAAAACAGGAAGAAUGGAAAUAUGUAUUUGUAUGUGCCCAAAUUAUCACAGAAAAGAUAUAUGUGGCACUAGUGACACUGGUGACUUAGAGGGAAGACAACUAGGUGACAACAGGAUGGAGAUGGGAGACAAAACUUUGACUGUCUACACCAUGUGAUUGUGC
RNAcentral lists this long non-coding RNA (2359 nucleotides) under Equus caballus (horse). RNAcentral's name for it is "lncRNA (ENSECAG00000048617.1)". Lineage: Eukaryota; Metazoa; Chordata; Mammalia; Perissodactyla; Equidae. The record is from RNAcentral.